RNAcentral lists this long non-coding RNA (412 nucleotides) under Homo sapiens (human). RNAcentral's name for it is "non-protein coding lnc-POTEG-14:16". The record is from RNAcentral. Lineage: Eukaryota; Metazoa; Chordata; Mammalia; Primates; Hominidae.
UGCAGAUGGCAGGAUUUCCCAAAGGUUUCUGGCUGAAACAUAUUCCGUGGUGUAUCUGUACAGCAGUUUCCUCAUCCCUGCAGCUGUGUUUGAACAGGAAAGAAAAAAGAAGAAAACAAACCUCCAUACGAGAAUGGGUCUAAAGGAACUUCCCAAACCUCCAUGAUUUUGCAGGAAACAAGAUAAAGGUUAUCACAACCAGCCCAGCUCCAGAAGUGAAAGAGCUGGCUGCAGCUGGGCAUGAGGCCAAAUGAAAAUGCUUUCACUCCCCUCAAGGGCUGCAGAGGGGGCCCUUGCAAAGGGAGGGUCACCGAGCUGCAAUUUCUUCUGCCUCCAAUCCAGAAAGAGCCUGAAGGAUUGCUCAAGGUGUCCUGGGAAAGAUUUUGAUUUCAAAGAGACAAUCUCCCCCAGG